Molecule: ribosomal RNA, 253 nt
Filed under: uncultured bacterium
Lineage: Bacteria
Description: partial 16S ribosomal RNA
Rfam family: Bacterial small subunit ribosomal RNA
Source: RNAcentral
UACGGAGGAUCCGAGCGUUAUCCGGAUUUAUUGGGUUUAAAGGGUGCGUAGGCGGCUUGUUAAGUCAGUGGUGAAAGUUUGCAGCUUAACUGUAAAAUUGCCAUUGAUACUGAUGAGCUUGAAUGUAGUUGAGGUAGGCGGAAUGAGUCAAGUAGCGGUGAAAUGCAUAGAUAUGACUCAGAACACCGAUUGCGAAGGCAGCUUACUAAACUAUGAUUGACGCUGAGGCACGAAAGCGUGGGGAUCGAACAGG